GACGAACGCUGGCGGCGUGCCUAAUACAUGCAAGUUGAGCGAUGAAGAUUGGUGCUUGCUCCAAUUUGAAGAGCAGCGAACGGGUGAGUAACGCGUGGGGAAUCUGCCUUUGAGCGGGGGACAACAUCUGGAAACGAAUGCUAAUACCGCAUAACAUCUUUAAACAUAAGUUUUAAGUUUGAAAGAUGCAAUUGCAUCACUCAAAGAUGAUUCCGCGUUGUCUUAGCUAGGUGGUGAGGUAAAGGCUCACCAAGGCGAUGAUACAUAGCCGACCUGAGAGGGUGGUCCGCCCACAUGGGACUGGGGACCGGCCCAAACUUCCACGGGAGGCAGCAGGAGGGAAUCCUCGGGAAAGGAGGGAAGUCUGACCGGACAACGCCGGCGGAGGGAAGAAGGGUCUCGGGUCGUAAAAAUCUGUUGGUAGAGAAGAACGUUGGGGAGAGUGGAAAGCUCAUCAAGUGACGGUAACUACUCAGAAAGGGACGGCUAACUACGUG
Molecule: ribosomal RNA, 497 nt
Filed under: uncultured bacterium
Lineage: Bacteria
Description: partial 16S ribosomal RNA
Rfam family: Bacterial small subunit ribosomal RNA
Source: RNAcentral